Molecule: long non-coding RNA, 4329 nt
Filed under: Schizosaccharomyces pombe (fission yeast)
Lineage: Eukaryota; Fungi; Ascomycota; Schizosaccharomycetes; Schizosaccharomycetales; Schizosaccharomycetaceae
Source: RNAcentral
CAAAAAUAUGAACCCAAAACGUUUAUACAUGAGUAUACUUUAAGAAGGCUAUACCCCUUCGUGUUAGAUGUAGUUUUAGCUACCCAACCCGAGUCUAUGAGCUUGACUUCAGAUGUAGAAGGCAUUAAAUCGUUUUGAAUAUUAAUUAAAAAACGAUGAAAAUUAAAUAUUUAAAAGCAAUCAUACGCUGAAAAUUUAGUGCUGUGGCUAAUCCUUCAACAUGGAAAUGCCAUAAAAGUGACUUUGACAAAAAAAAAAGUAUAUACAGGUAGUAAACUCAUCUACUUCAUUGACUUUGUUUACAGCAUGUGGAAGGAGGAAUAUUUAUUGCUAAAUCGUAGUUUAACAUUCAAUAAGUAAUACUAUUGAAAUUCGACAAGAUUGGCCGCAUGGAUGAAAAAGAGGCAUUUUGCUUUGGGAGAAUUAGUUCAAAUUAGAACUGAAAAAAAAAACUUUACGAGGCAAAAAUGUCGGAUUGAGAUCGUAAAAGUUCGCUCGUCGUCUUUUGCUUUGUGAUUGUUUUCAUGGAUACAUCUUGCUGGAUAUUUAAAUUUUAGUACUAUGUAUAAGAUAUUCUAUAAAUGUUUUAUCACCCAAACCUGUUAGCGCCUUCUUAAUUCUAUUCAAUCUGGCUUUUGCUCUGAGACUACUUCUUGGACUUUCACUACUUGUUAGUUAUACGGAAUUUGUGUAAUUAGAAGUGAAAUAAUCCUUUCUAUUAGUAAUGCAAACAAAAAUCAAUUGGAAAGCAAAUUUACACAUACUUGCUGUAUCGCCUUCGACUAUCUUUUCAUUGCAUACCAUGAUUUUAGACGUUUAUACUUAAGCAAUUAAAAGGUUUUGAUUCAAUCAUAAACAUAAUUAUCCUUGAUAAAAAAAGAAUUAUACACAUUGUUCUCUUUAUUUGACUUCGAACUGUUUAACAUCGAAACGGUCAGAUGAUACACCCAUUCCUCCAAUGUAAUCCCUGGCUUCUUGGGCAAGCUUGUCAGUUGUCGCAUCAUCCCAACCAAAUUCUUCUUUCAUGACAUGUGUAACACCAGCAACGGCUUGAAGAGCUUGUCUAGCAUCCAAAAAUGCCAAACGGGUCCUACGGGCUAAGAAAUCGGUGGGUGUUCUAGUGUAUUCGUACUUUAUCGAAUACUUUAAUUCUGCAACAGUAAACGGUUCAUCAAAGGAUGCAUAGGAAACGCUUUUAUCACUCGAGGCAUCAGAAGAUGGAGCGAAUACUUCCUUGUCAGCCAACGUAACAGGCAGCUUGUUGAAAUCGGUUUUCGAAUAUAACUCCAAAAUUAAUGGGGCCCGAGAUCCAUAGUUGUGGGACAGAUGCUUUGCGAGUCUUAAGGGAAUAUGAUAUUCAUGAAUCAAUCUGGCAGAAUAAUUCUUAUAAUAGUUUUCACCACCCACCAAAAUGAGUUUUUUAGUUUGACAGGGCUUCAAUGCCUUUCCGAAGUCGUGGUCCUUGAUUAGUUCAUUAACAGUCUCCUCCGCCAUUUCACGGUAUGUCGUCCAUUUUCCACCCGAGAUUGUAAGUAAUCCGGUAUCAGACUUGAAAAUGAAGUGAGAACGAACUAGACCCUGCGUCUCUCCAGUAGUGGGAUCGGUGCCAGGAGGGACCGUGGAUGGGUCACGAACCAAAGGUCGGAUACCGCACCAUGCAGACAAGACAUCCUCUCGAUCAACAGGGAACACAAGGUAUUUUUGUAGCUCCUUCAAUAUCAACUGGAUAUCGUCUUCAGAUGGUGUGGGAUUAGUGGGAACACUACUCAAAGGCUUAUCUGUGGUACCGGCUAUAACUUUACCCUGCCAUGGUAAGAAGAACAUGACACGAUUAUCUGAAGUUGAAGGGUCGAGAAUUCCUAUAUUGGGAGGACAGUAGUAUUCGGGCAAGACGACAUGAACGCCGGCAGAAGGGACAACCAUUCUAGGAAACUGGGCAGUCUUGGGUGGCUCACCUUGGGGAUCAGCAUCCAUUUCUAAGAUUUUGUCAGAAAAGGGACCGGUAGCAUUGACAACAGAAGUGGCUUUAAUUUGAUAUUCUUUACCGGUUUCACGGUCGAUGGCAAGUACACCUUCAAGUUUGUUGUCUUUUGAUUUUAAUAGUUUUUUAACCUCCAUAUAAUUCAAAACGGUUGCACCAUUGUCAAUUGCAGUAACUGCUAGCGUGGUGUUCAUGCGAGUGUCAUUAAAGGAGCCAUCAUGGUAGACGCAUGAAGCCUUGAGAUUAGAAUCGUCGAGCAUGGGAGCAAUGGCCACAGUUGUCUCUUUUGAGAAAAUGGUAGAAGCUCUCAAGUUCUUAGAACCAGCAACCCAGUCGUAAAUUUUACAACCAACAAAGAAAUAUGGAACCUGCCACCAUUUGUAUACAGGGAUCAUGAUGGGCAACACUGUGCACAAAUGUGGGGCCGUUCUCAACAUAUUUGCACGCUCAUUUAAAGCCUCGAUAACCAAAUCUAAUUGAGCCUUAGACAAUUGGAAUACAGCUUUCUCUAGAUAACGCACACCACCAUGAGCCAUUUUAGUCGACUUUGAUGAAGUCUCACUGGCAAAAUCAGUUUUUUCUAACAAACAAACAUUAAGUCCUCUGGUGCUGGCAUCGACAGCAACACCUGUACCGGUAGCACCUCCACCGAUAAUGAGGACAUCGAAUUUUGAUAUAUCUUCGACGUUUUUUAAAAGCGUUUCACGAGAUGGCGGAGGGGCUAACGAUUUGGUAAACGGGGUAAAUUGGGGAUUGAAGUGAGAAGGAGCGGGUCUUUUAAUGAAAUCAGAGUAGAAAACGGCGCCUCCAACUAGACCCGAAGCAGCCAAAGCGGCCUGAACAGAUCGGCGUUUGAAGAUUGAAAACAUCUGGUCGAUGGCUAGAUUAAGGGAGAAAAAUAAAACGUGAAAUGAUAAAUGAGAGAAAUAGAAAUAUUGGUAAAGAAGAAAGAAAACGGCAAAAAUAUUACUAGAAAGGAGAAUGAGAGAAGGGAGAGGGGAAAUAAAUCUGUAUUAUGCGAAUGUUUUAGUUUUUUAUUUCCCUUAUAUGUGAGUACUAUAGUGCAGCACGGCUUAUGUAUGUAGAAGGAAUUGUAUAUAAAAGGGAAGGGAGAUGGAUGAUUUUAUGAGAAAAGGAAGAAACAGGGAGUAGUUUGCUUAUUUGUCAAUUGUUUUUGUGUUUUUUUUUAUCUUUUAAACGACCCGCUUUGAAGUUACAGCAACAAUUUUAGAGCUAUUUUUUCAUAAAGGGGUUUUUCUUUAUAUGGCGCUUUGUCGAUCAACUCAGCAAGCAAGGCGGAAGAAGAAUACAAAACAAACCUAAACAAAGUAAAAUUGAACAAAUAUAUUUUCAGUAAAACCACUAGCAAAAUCAAAUUCCCUUAACGAAAUGAAUUUAUCAGGCAGAUCAAUCAAAUCGCUACCAGAGCUUUAUGGGGAAAUUUAAACAAGAUGCAAGAUGCAGCCCAUGCGAAGAAGGAUAUCGCAGCGACCUACUUCUAUGCAAAGACGCAAAUAUAUAGAAAAAAAAAACUUUCAAAGACAUGUCAACAGUGACGUUGGGUUUGUUUCUACUGCAAGUCUUGAACAAACGAAGCUUCAAUAACGAAGCAAUGCCAUCACGGAACCCCACACUUACCCCUACACAAUACCCGAGUCAUGACGCGGCCUGGAAAGGUACUUUGGAGAAUGUAUUUUAGCUUGAAAAAAACGUUUUUCAAUGCUUCUCCUUGUGUUUCAUGGACGCUGGAAAAAGGCGAUCCACGAAAAAAAUUUUUCAUUUAAGAAUUUACCUUCGUUUAAGCUAUAAACCAGGAACUGUGGGGCCAGAUGCAUGGUGCUAACCGAGUGACAUCAUACGGCUACUUGAGGCAGGUUUCAAUGAUGUGCCGAUGCGUGAAAAUUUGUGGGGAUGGGAAGAAGCGUUUCGAGUGACAUUUUAGCAAGUUAUUAUGAGAUUUAAGAGUGUAAUAGAUCUCUAUAACACAUGCAAAAUGCAAAUGAUUUUCCUGAGUCGCCCUGUAACGUGUUGAAGGGUUAUCUUUCAUUUGUUGCGCAACGAUCUUCCUUGUUUGGGUAUUCACCUACAGUAAAAAUUUUACCUGAUUAAAAUAUAGAGAUAACUCUUCUGAAAACUUUGUGAUUUCUUUCCCUCUUUUUCUUUCUUUUCAUUAAAAAACAGACAAAUUUGUUUGAGAAACCUACAUCCAUAAUCGAUUUCCUUAUAUAUCGAUAUUAAUAUUGUUAUACCUGUUUUAUAGUAAUACAAAGAUAGUGCUACAUAGGUAAAGUAUAUUAUACAUACUAAAUUCAUUUAUUCAGUCGUAUUAUACUAAUACAAUUUUUUCG